This 253-nucleotide ribosomal RNA is filed under the name uncultured bacterium. Its description in RNAcentral is "partial 16S ribosomal RNA". It matches the Rfam family "Bacterial small subunit ribosomal RNA", at positions 524 to 776 of the family's 1533-position model. The record is from RNAcentral.
UACGAAGGGGACUAGCGUUGUUCGGAUUUAUUGGGCGUAAAGAGCGUGUAGGCGGCCAGGUAGGUCAGCUGUGAAAACUCGAGGCUCAACCUCGAGCUGUCGGCUGAAACCAUCUGGCUAGAGUCCGGAAGAGGAGAAUGGAAUUCCCGGUGUAGCGGUGAAAUGCGCAGAUAUCGGGAAGAACACCCGUGGCGAAGGCGGUUCUCUGGGACGGUACUGACGCUGAGACGCGAAAGCGUGGGGAGCGAACAGG